This 2868-nucleotide ribosomal RNA is filed under the name Escherichia coli. Its description in RNAcentral is "23S ribosomal RNA". It matches the Rfam family "Bacterial large subunit ribosomal RNA". Lineage: Bacteria; Pseudomonadati; Pseudomonadota; Gammaproteobacteria; Enterobacterales; Enterobacteriaceae. The record is from RNAcentral.
GGUUAAGCGACUAAGCGUACACGGUGGAUGCCCUGGCAGUCAGAGGCGAUGAAGGACGUGCUAAUCUGCGAUAAGCGUCGGUAAGGUGAUAUGAACCGUUAUAACCGGCGAUUUCCGAAUGGGGAAACCCAGUGUGAUUCGUCACACUAUCAUUAACUGAAUCCAUAGGUUAAUGAGGCGAACCGGGGGAACUGAAACAUCUAAGUACCCCGAGGAAAAGAAAUCAACCGAGAUUCCCCCAGUAGCGGCGAGCGAACGGGGAGCAGCCCAGAGCCUGAAUCAGUGUGUGUGUUAGUGGAAGCGUCUGGAAAGGCGCGCGAUACAGGGUGACAGCCCCGUACACAAAAAUGCACAUGCUGUGAGCUCGAUGAGUAGGGCGGGACACGUGGUAUCCUGUCUGAAUAUGGGGGGACCAUCCUCCAAGGCUAAAUACUCCUGACUGACCGAUAGUGAACCAGUACCGUGAGGGAAAGGCGAAAAGAACCCCGGCGAGGGGAGUGAAAAAGAACCUGAAACCGUGUACGUACAAGCAGUGGGAGCACAGAGCAAUCUGUGUGACUGCGUACCUUUUGUAUAAUGGGUCAGCGACUUAUAUUCUGUAGCAAGGUUAACCGAAUAGGGGAGCCGAAGGGAAACCGAGUCUUAACUGGGCGUUAAGUUGCAGGGUAUAGACCCGAAACCCGGUGAUCUAGCCAUGGGCAGGUUGAAGGUUGGGUAACACUAACUGGAGGACCGAACCGACUAAUGUUGAAAAAUUAGCGGAUGACUUGUGGCUGGGGGUGAAAGGCCAAUCAAACCGGGAGAUAGCUGGUUCUCCCCGAAAGCUAUUUAGGUAGCGCCUCGUGAAUUCAUCUCCGGGGGUAGAGCACUGUUUCGGCAAGGGGGUCAUCCCGACUUACCAACCCGAUGCAAACUGCGAAUACCGGAGAAUGUUAUCACGGGAGACACACGGCGGGUGCUAACGUCCGUCGUGAAGAGGGAAACAACCCAGACCGCCAGCUAAGGUCCCAAAGUCAUGGUUAAGUGGGAAACGAUGUGGGAAGGCCCAGACAGCCAGGAUGUUGGCUUAGAAGCAGCCAUCAUUUAAAGAAAGCGUAAUAGCUCACUGGUCGAGUCGGCCUGCGCGGAAGAUGUAACGGGGCUAAACCAUGCACCGAAGCUGCGGCAGCGACNNNNNNNNNNNNNNNNNNNNNNUGCUGGAGGUAUCAGAAGUGCGAAUGCUGACAUAAGUAACGAUAAAGCGGGUGAAAAGCCCGCUCGCCGGAAGACCAAGGGUUCCUGUCCAACGUUAAUCGGGGCAGGGUGAGUCGACCCCUAAGGCGAGGCCGAAAGGCGUAGUCGAUGGGAAACAGGUUAAUAUUCCUGUACUUGGUGUUACUGCGAAGGGGGGACGGAGAAGGCUAUGUUGGCCGGGCGACGGUUGUCCCGGUUUAAGCGUGUAGGCUGGUUUUCCAGGCAAAUCCGGAAAAUCAAGGCUGAGGCGUGAUGACGAGGCACUACGGUGCUGAAGCAACAAAUGCCCUGCUUCCAGGAAAAGCCUCUAAGCAUCAGGUAACAUCAAAUCGUACCCCAAACCGACACAGGUGGUCAGGUAGAGAAUACCAAGGCGCUUGAGAGAACUCGGGUGAAGGAACUAGGCAAAAUGGUGCCGUAACUUCGGGAGAAGGCACGCUGAUAUGUAGGUGAAGUCCCUCGCGGAUGGAGCUGAAAUCAGUCGAAGAUACCAGCUGGCUGCAACUGUUUAUUAAAAACACAGCACUGUGCAAACACGAAAGUGGACGUAUACGGUGUGACGCCUGCCCGGUGCCGGAAGGUUAAUUGAUGGGGUUAGCGCAAGCGAAGCUCUUGAUCGAAGCCCCGGUAAACGGCGGCCGUAACUAUAACGGUCCUAAGGUAGCGAAAUUCCUUGUCGGGUAAGUUCCGACCUGCACGAAUGGCGUAAUGAUGGCCAGGCUGUCUCCACCCGAGACUCAGUGAAAUUGAACUCGCUGUGAAGAUGCAGUGUACCCGCGGCAAGACGGAAAGACCCCGUGAACCUUUACUAUAGCUUGACACUGAACAUUGAGCCUUGAUGUGUAGGAUAGGUGGGAGGCUUUGAAGUGUGGACGCCAGUCUGCAUGGAGCCGACCUUGAAAUACCACCCUUUAAUGUUUGAUGUUCUAACGUUGACCCGUAAUCCGGGUUGCGGACAGUGUCUGGUGGGUAGUUUGACUGGGGCGGUCUCCUCCUAAAGAGUAACGGAGGAGCACGAAGGUUGGCUAAUCCUGGUCGGACAUCAGGAGGUUAGUGCAAUGGCAUAAGCCAGCUUGACUGCGAGCGUGACGGCGCGAGCAGGUGCGAAAGCAGGUCAUAGUGAUCCGGUGGUUCUGAAUGGAAGGGCCAUCGCUCAACGGAUAAAAGGUACUCCGGGGAUAACAGGCUGAUACCGCCCAAGAGUUCAUAUCGACGGCGGUGUUUGGCACCUCGAUGUCGGCUCAUCACAUCCUGGGGCUGAAGUAGGUCCCAAGGGUAUGGCUGUUCGCCAUUUAAAGUGGUACGCGAGCUGGGUUUAGAACGUCGUGAGACAGUUCGGUCCCUAUCUGCCGUGGGCGCUGGAGAACUGAGGGGGGCUGCUCCUAGUACGAGAGGACCGGAGUGGACGCAUCACUGGUGUUCGGGUUGUCAUGCCAAUGGCACUGCCCGGUAGCUAAAUGCGGAAGAGAUAAGUGCUGAAAGCAUCUAAGCACGAAACUUGCCCCGAGAUGAGUUCUCCCUGACUCCUUGAGAGUCCUGAAGGAACGUUGAAGACGACGACGUUGAUAGGCCGGGUGUGUAAGCGCAGCGAUGCGUUGAGCUAACCGGUACUAAUGAACCGUGAGGCUUAACCUU